Molecule: long non-coding RNA, 1134 nt
Organism: Nicotiana tabacum (common tobacco)
Lineage: Eukaryota; Viridiplantae; Streptophyta; Magnoliopsida; Solanales; Solanaceae
Source: RefSeq, a predicted model, not a curated record
CCCAAUUCCUGCCUCUACACAGCAUUUUAAAAGUGAUACUCCCUCUGCGCGAACAACAAAAAAACUCUCAAAAAACACAAACCUCUUCAGAUGCACAGCCGCGUCUUCACACCGAUUCUUUACUCUCUGUUUUCUUCCAGUUUCUCUGUACUCCUCCAUCCCCUUCACUUUCUCGUACUCCUCCGUCUCUUUCGCUUUCUCUGUUCUCCUCCAUCUCUUUAAGACCUCUCUCUUCCUUUUUAUUUUUACACCCAUGACCUGUUUGAAAAAAUGCUAUACAUGGCACCCGGAAUCAACAAUGUCGGUGUGGGGACACUAUGAUUGCGAAGACAAAACGCUGUUACGAGAUUGAGGGAUUUUAAAAUGAGCUCAAAAGUGGAGAAUAAGAAUUACUAAAGACAAGAGAAAUGGAUAUUUGGUGCUUUUCAUUUGAGAAAUUCACUGGAAGAUAUGACUUCUCAUAUUAAUGGGAGAAAUAAGGUAUAGAAACCAAGGGAAAUCCUUUUUGCUGCAAGAUUCAUUCAACAAGAUGAUGUGGGUCGAUGUGGAUUAACAAAUGGCGCUUGAGUCCGAGUUCUUUACAGUAUGCAUUAUUCACUUGUAUCAGAGCUUUUCAGUAUGGUUUCCAUAUUUUGAUCAACUUGAAAAUUCAUAUCAGAAGAGUAUGAUAGUAAUAAGCGACAGAGACGCAAAAAAUAUAGAAAGUUGUCCUCAACUUUUAGUUAGAGGAUGAAGAUGAACUUCCUAAUUUGGACAUUCAAUUGAGCCUCUUUACAAGCUAAAUAUUUAGCGACAGAAUCUUGAGGGAAGACAGCCUCUUCAAGAAAUGGUUCUGUUCUUGGAAUUUUUCAUGAAAAUAUCUUUUUGUCUAGGAAUAGAAAGAGUAGGAGAUGAGUAAGAGGACUAAGAGAUUUGGAGACUCCUUAAGAAUAGUCAGAUUUGACAUAGAUGAUGAAGACUUCAGUAAGAGCCGGAGAUACCUCAAAAUGAAAUGUUGAACUCUUCAGCGAUCACAUAAGAGACGCAAUGACUGUUACUCUUUUUUGCAGUAAGCUACUUCCAUUGUUUCGUUGCUGAAAUAGUCUAAAGUUUUGAACUUUAGAUUUAUUUCUUUUAUGAGACUCUACACAUCUA